RNAcentral lists this ribosomal RNA (375 nucleotides) under uncultured bacterium. RNAcentral describes it as "bacterial SSU rRNA". It matches the Rfam family "Bacterial small subunit ribosomal RNA", at positions 29 to 390 of the family's 1533-position model. The record is from RNAcentral.
AACGAACGCUGGCGGCGUGCCUAACACAUGCAAGUCGAGCGCGAAUGGAGCAAUCCUAGUAGAGCGGCGCACGGGUGCGUAACACGUGGGUAAUCUGCCUCAAACGCCGGGAUAACCUGCCGAAGGCAGCUAAUACCGGAUAAGCCUACGGACUCGUUCGGGGUCUGAAGGAAAGGUGGCCUCUGUAUACAAGCUAUCUACUUUGAGAUGACGCCCGCCGGCCCAUCAGCUCGUUGGCGGGGUAACGGCCCACCAAGGCAACGACGGGUAGCUGGUCUGAGAGGACGAUCAGCCACACUGGAACUGAGACACGGUCCAGACUCCUACGGGAGGCAGCAGUGGGGAAUAUUGGGCAAUGGGCGCAAGCCUGACCCA